CUAUUAAACUUUCCACAUGCAAAAGAUUUUAAAGCCAUUAUCAAUAGCUGUCUCUUAGAGUAGGGCCUUCUCGUAAAUUCCAAAUCCUGAAGUGACUAACAGGUAAACAAAGGUAUAGUGUUCAUCUGUCACACAGAGUCACCAAGUGAACAUGAGGCAGUAAGUGAGCACUGGUGGCCCAGUGCCUGGGCUGUUUCUUAGUCUAAGCUAAUCUGAGACAAACCAGCAAUGUGGAAAGAGUUUGGGCUUUGACAUGAAACAGACCCAUGUUCAAAUAACAGCUCUGCCAUUUACUAGCUAAGGAACCUUGGCAAUUACUUACCGUCUCAGAGCUUCAAGUGCAUCUUGUGUAGAACGGAGAAAACAAGACCUACUUUGCAGAGUCACUGUCAAUAUAAGACAAUAUAUAUCACAUUUCCUAGCAUAAGGCAAGAGCUCAAAAAAUGGCAGCUAUUAUCAUGAUUCAGAAGUCAGGUAGGUUAAGCAAAGUCAAGGGUAAUUAGGUUGCCUAUCACUAGAUGAAGCAAGUCUAAGGCAGUCACAGCCAUGAGAGACUACAAGGGCCAUGUCGGCCUGUUAACUGGGAACCCUGAGGAAGUAGCAAUCACAUCCACAGGCUUCAUCCUGCAUAAAUGAUCCAUCAUCUCCUUGAAGAAAGGCUACAGGGGGAACUAGAUGGGGAACCACACUGUUCUUGUAAUGUGACUGGAUGCUGUGGUUCUGUGCUGAUGUGUUUGAUCCCUGCUCCUAGAGGUACCAACACUGUUACUAUUUCAUAUUUAAGAAGCUGCUGCAACUGGCUGGUAUUAAGCCAGGGCUCUAUUGAUAACCAGGACAAUUUUGUUAAAGCUACCUCUGAUGUCUUAUCAUAAACCUACAGCUAUCAUUCCUCUUACUUCUAGUAAGAAACUAUGUCCUCCACAUCUCCUUUCCAGGAAUUCACAGACCAUCGUGCAUAGACCACACCUGAGUCCACAUCUCCUUUCCAGGAAUUCAUGGACCAUCUUGUAAAGACCACAUCUGAGUUCACGGCAGAGCACCAGGUCUGAGAGUUGUCUCUAAGGUGGUUGAGAGACGUCAGUGCACGAGAGGUUGAAGUUAGUAUUUAUUGUCUUAAUUCAAGAACAAUCCCACCAGCCUCUUGAGUCUUACAAAUAACUUCAUGAUGGACUGAAAUCACUCAGUGAUGAAUGUUCAGUGACCCAUUCAAAGCCACAAGAGCAGCAAGUGUAAACGAUGUAGAACUGUUCAGUAAUCUGAAAAUGUAAAAGUCAGAGGGAUAGAAUGUUGUUUGGGUUUUUAAGACCUCUCAUAUCCCUCAGGAGCUUAAUGAGGUAGGAGUAGAAUGAAUGCUCUUCAAGAGCAGUUUUCAAGCUAAGAUUCCAAUUCACUUUGUCUUGCGGGGUGUGUGUGGGGGGGGGGCGGUGUAAAAAUCUGUAUUUUAUUUAUUUUAUUUUUUUAAGAUUGGCAACUGACCUAACAUCUGUUGCUAAUCUUUUUGUUUUUUUCCCUUCUUCUUCU
Molecule: long non-coding RNA, 1521 nt
Filed under: Equus caballus (horse)
Lineage: Eukaryota; Metazoa; Chordata; Mammalia; Perissodactyla; Equidae
Description: lncRNA (ENSECAG00000051374.1)
Source: RNAcentral